Molecule: non-coding RNA, 81 nt
Organism: Epithele typhae
Lineage: Eukaryota; Fungi; Basidiomycota; Agaricomycetes; Polyporales; Epitheliaceae
Source: the annotation of a RefSeq genome assembly
GGUCGAGUGGUGUAGUGGUUAUCACUCCUGUCUUACAUAAGUGCGCACAGGUGGUCGUCGGUUCGAUCCCGGCCUCGAUCA